This 310-nucleotide ribosomal RNA is filed under the name uncultured Methylocella sp. Its description in RNAcentral is "bacterial SSU rRNA". It matches the Rfam family "Bacterial small subunit ribosomal RNA", at positions 1 to 347 of the family's 1533-position model. Lineage: Bacteria; Pseudomonadati; Pseudomonadota; Alphaproteobacteria; Hyphomicrobiales; Beijerinckiaceae. The record is from RNAcentral.
UAGAGUUUGAUCCUGGCUCAGAACGAACGCUGGCGGCAGGCUUAACACAUGCAAGUCGAGCGCCCCGCAAGGGGAGCGGCAGACGGGUGAGUAACGCGUGGGAACAUACCCUUUGGUUCGGAAUAACUCAGGGAAACUUGAGCUAAUACCGGAUACGUCCGUAAGGAGAAAGAUUUAUCGCCAAAGGAUUGGCCCGCGUCCGAUUAGCUAGUUGGUGAGGUAACGGCUCACCAAGGCUACGAUCGGUAGCUGGUCUGAGAGGAUGAUCAGCCACAUUGGGACUGAGACACGGCCCAAACUCCUACGGGAG